Non-coding RNA from Onchocerca ochengi, 73 nucleotides. The record is from Rfam. Lineage: Eukaryota; Metazoa; Nematoda; Chromadorea; Rhabditida; Onchocercidae.
GGUCCAAUGGUGUAGUGGUCAUCACGUCUGCUUUACACGCAGAAGGCCGACGGUUCGAAUCCGUCUUGGAUCA